GAUGAACGCUGGCGGCGUGCCUAAUACAUGCCAGUCGAGCGAACAGACGAGGAACUUGCUCCUCUGACGUUAGCGGCGGACGGGUGAGUAACACGUGGAUAACCUACCUAUAAGACUGGGAUAACUUCGGGAAACCGGAGCUAAUACCGGAUAAUAUAUUGAACCGCAUGGUUCAAUAGUGAAAGACGGUUUUGCUGUCACUUAUAGAUGGAUCCGCGCCGCAUUAGCUAGUUGGUAAGGUAACGGCUUACCAAGGCAACGAUGCGUAGCCGACCUGAGAGGGUGAUCGGCCACACUGGAACUGAGACACGGUCCAGACUCCUACGGGAGGCAGCAGUAGGGAAUCUUCCGCAAUGGGCGAAAGCCUGACGGAGCAACGCCGCGUGAGUGAUGAAGGUCUUCGGAUCGUAAAACUCUGUUAUUAGGGAAGAAUAAAUGUGUAAGUAACUAUGCACGUCUUGACGGUACCUAAUCAGAAAGCCACGGCGAACUACGU
This 496-nucleotide ribosomal RNA is filed under the name uncultured bacterium. RNAcentral describes it as "partial 16S ribosomal RNA". It matches the Rfam family "Bacterial small subunit ribosomal RNA", at positions 28 to 506 of the family's 1533-position model. The record is from RNAcentral.